GCCAAUGUGGCAUAGUGGUUUGAGUGCUAGACUGCAACUCUGGACACCAGAGUUUGAUUCCCAGCUGAGCCA
This is a non-coding RNA of Phrynosoma platyrhinos (Desert horned lizard), 72 nucleotides long. The record is from the annotation of a GenBank genome assembly. Lineage: Eukaryota; Metazoa; Chordata; Lepidosauria; Squamata; Phrynosomatidae.